GCGAGAAAAAUGGGUUUUGGAGACUACCCAGCCGAGUAUAAUCCCAAAGUCCAUGGUCCUUAUGAUCCAGCACGGUUCUAUGGCAAGCGUAAGUUGAAAAAUCCCA
Molecule: non-coding RNA, 106 nt
Organism: Phlebotomus papatasi
Lineage: Eukaryota; Metazoa; Arthropoda; Insecta; Diptera; Psychodidae
Source: Rfam